RNAcentral lists this non-coding RNA (45 nucleotides) under Schistosoma mansoni. The record is from RNAcentral. Lineage: Eukaryota; Metazoa; Platyhelminthes; Trematoda; Strigeidida; Schistosomatidae.
ACCCAGCUGAUGAGUACCAAAUAGGACGAAACGUACGUCCUGAAU